AACGAACGCUGGCGGCAGGCCUAACACAUGCAAGUCGAGCGCACCCUUCGGGGUGAGCGGCGGACGGGUGAGUAACGCGUGGGAACGUGCCCUUCUCUGCGGAAUAGCCUCGGGAAACUGAGAGUAAUACCGCAUACGCUCUUUGGGGGAAGGAUCUAUCGGAGAAGGAUCGGCCCGCGUUGGAUUAGGUAGUUGGUGGGGUAAUGGCCGACCAAGCCGACGAUCCAUAGCUGGUUUGAGAGGAUGACUAGCCACACUGGGCCUGCGACACGGCCCAGACUCCUACGGGAGGCAGCAGUGGGGAAUCUUAGACAAUGGGGGCAACCCUGAUCUAGCCAUGCCGCGUGAGUGAUGAAGGCCUUAGGGUUGUAAAGCUCUUUCAGAUGGGAAGAUAAUGACGGUACCAGCAGAAGAAGCACCGGCUAACUCCGUG
RNAcentral lists this ribosomal RNA (433 nucleotides) under uncultured bacterium. Its description in RNAcentral is "partial 16S ribosomal RNA". It matches the Rfam family "Bacterial small subunit ribosomal RNA", at positions 29 to 507 of the family's 1533-position model. The record is from RNAcentral.